UUCGAGCGGACCGAAAGGGAGCUUGCUCCUUUAGGUUAGCGGCGGACGGGUGANUAACACGUGGGCAACCUGCCCUGCAGACUGGGAUAACUUCGGGAAACCGGAGCUAAUACCGGAUAACACCGAAAACCGCAUGGUUUUCGGUUGAAAGGCGGCUUUUAGCUGUCACUGCAGGAUGGGCCCGCGGCGCAUUAGCUAGUUGGUGGGGUAACGGCUCACCAAGGCGACGACGGGUAGCCGGCCUGAGAGGGCGACCGGCCACACUGGGACUGAGACACGGCCCAGACUCCUACGGGAGGCAGCAGUGGGGAAUAUUGGACAAUGGGCGCAAGCCUGAUCCAGCCAUGCCGCGUGUGUGAAGAAGGCCUUAUGGUUGUAAAGCACUUUAAGCGAGGAGGAGGCUACUUUAGAUAAUACCUAGAGAUAGUGGACGUUACUCGCAGAAUAAGCACCGGCUAACUCUGUGCCAGCAGCCGCGGUAAU
RNAcentral lists this ribosomal RNA (483 nucleotides) under uncultured bacterium. RNAcentral's name for it is "bacterial SSU rRNA". It matches the Rfam family "Bacterial small subunit ribosomal RNA", at positions 61 to 524 of the family's 1533-position model. The record is from RNAcentral.